This 18685-nucleotide long non-coding RNA is filed under the name Zea mays. RNAcentral's name for it is "long non-coding RNA (ZMAY_LNC005677)". Lineage: Eukaryota; Viridiplantae; Streptophyta; Magnoliopsida; Poales; Poaceae. The record is from RNAcentral.
CCGUGUCUACGUUGGUGUGGACUUUUUUUCCACGCUGAGUCCCGCACGAGUGCACGACGGGCGGCGGGAGGUUGAACCGAACCGGUGGCGACGACGUCGACACGCCGCACUCCGUCCGGCAUCCGUAUCCUCCUGUUUCCUUCUCUCCGGUAAUCUAAUUUCCUUUCUUUGGUUAUCGCGUUCUAGGGUUCUGCUUCUUGGAUCCAGCGAUUGGGGACUUGGGGGUAGGUUUCUGGACAUCAUACUGCAAAGUUCUUCAUAUCUAGUGCUAAUCUGAUUUAUCGUAUUGAGGUUUGAGAUAAGAGAAUGCCUAUGCCUUUUCUUUUUUGCGAUCGAAAUGCCUACGCUUUUGUAGAAUCUAUCAUGGCAUAAUAUGGUUUACUCAGCUUUACGAUAGUUUCUGCACCCUGGUUUGUCUAGUUACCCGAGCUGGAAGUCUAUACACACAUAGACGGCAUAAUAUGCACGGGAAGUUGAUCUAAUUAAUGAGUGCAAGGAAAGGGAAGCAAUGCAACUGGCUUGCUUGGACACCUGCUGCCUGAAUGGUUGUAUGCAACAGCUAUGAAGCCUACAGGGUGGUACUUGUUAGGAUUUAUGGGCUUGGCCCAAUUAAGAAAUUCAAAUAAAUCCCAGAAAAUCUCAAAAGCCCAUACAAGAGGAUGGCUAGAGGAUAGGUGGAACCAUUAGCACCAUAUUGCUAGCUCUAGUGGAGUAGAGCUAGCUUAAAUAUGGAAGCCACACUCACUCACCAAGUCAUGGAUGAGAGGAGAGAGUGUGGAGAGCCACACGCGCGCUCGCUCGCCUCGCCGGGGCGGGGCGGGGCGGGGCGGGGCGAAACCCGGUCUAUGUGAUCGGAGAUCCCGUGAAUUAGGUCCUGGGAAGAACAAGCCAUUGGUGAACUGAGGAGAGUAACCUUUGACCCUCUCUAAGUAAAGAUGCAAUACUCUCAAAUGCUGUAAGGCAGGUUGGCUUUGUGCCUUAAUGUGUUCUGUUGGCUUGUAUUAGCGAAGAUGUUGUCCUGCAGAACAUUCUUUGAAAGAACACACCUAUAUGAGUUAGACUGUCUAACGUCGCAGUUUAUGAGAUUUGGGUGAUCUCUAGUAAACUCAUGAAGAGACCUUGGAGUACGACGUAUAUGCUCCACCCGAGAAGGGGACUACUGGUAGCCAAGUACUGGUCAUGACUUCAAGUGAAACCCAUUCACGCAAAACUUGCAAUUCAAGGCAUAGUCCAUUGUCCAAGUUGUGGGUUGGUGUAGCUUGGAGUUCUAGGCGGAAGUUCAACUUAACAGUCUCUGCUGAAAAACUAGUAUAUUAAACAGUAGUGAAGAGUGGCGAAAACUGCAGAUGGGCAUUUGAGAUCUGGUGGGGGAUUGUUAGGAUUUAUGGGCUUGGCCCAAUUAAGAAAUUCAAAUAAAUCCCAGAAAAUCUCAAAAGCCCAUACAAGAGGAUGGCUAGAGGAUAGGUGGAACCAUUAGCACCAUAUUGCUAGCUCUAGUGGAGUAGAGCUAGCUUAAAUAUGGAAGCCACACUCACUCACCAAGUCAUGGAUGAGAGGAGAGAGUGUGGAGAGCCACACGCGCGCGCGCGCUCGCUCGCCUCGCCGGGCCGGGGCGGGGCGGGGCGGGGCGAAGGGCGCGGGCGCACGACAUGCGCGUGAAUGGUCCGCCGAAAUCCGGCCCCUCGCCUUGCGGGGGCGCGACUACCUUUUGCCGUUUGAUUUUUUGGUUUCUUGGCUGUUACGCUUAUCCUAACCGAUCGCUAUAAAAUCUCAACUGAUUGCGAGAUUUUCGUGGGCGGAUAAGCACGGGGGUCGCGGACUCGGCCCUAUAAAAGGAGCCCGACAGCCAGCCUCCAAAUCAUCCCAGAUCCCAGUUCGCUUUCGCCUCUUUUCAUAGCUAAGCCGCUUUUUAGUUCCCUUCGUCCCGACCGCAGAGGUGCAUCUGCGAUCAGGAGAGCAGGUCUCCGGAACCUUUCGUCUUCUAGAUCCUGCACCGGGAGAGGGCGAAUAAGGUUUUUGGGAAGCGUCUUCACGCGACUGCUCGUGAUCUUCUGACCUCGUCGACCCUGUUGAUUCGCUACUUCGACAUCGUCGAUCCUGCUGAUUCCGGCGCGCGCCAACAAUCAGUAAGUCUAAUCAGUACGCAUCAUCUGAUUUGGCUUUUAUUUCAGUUCUUCUGAUUUGGUCAUGAUUUAUAUUCGGAAUUUAAUUUGGAAUUUGUCUAAUUAUUCAACAAUCCAAAAACCUUAUUGUAGACAAUUUCCUAGUUUUUCUAUGGCUGCUUUUGCCGACGCGCUGAAGCCAGAAAAGUUUAAUGGUAUGCACUUUAAGAGAUGGCAAGUCAAGGCCACACUCUGGCUUACUGCUAUGAAUGUCUUCCAUGUUAGUAAAGGCAGACCUGAGGGUCCACUGACUCCUGAACAGGAGAAAGAGUACGACCAUGCCAAUACUAUGUUCACGGGAGCCGUUCUUAGCGCCCUUGUUGACCGUCUGGUUGAUGCGAAUAUGCAGUACACAGACGGGAAAGAGUUGUGGGAUGCACUUACUACUAAGUAUGGUGCAUCAGAUGCUGGCAGUGACCUGUAUAUCAUGGAGAGCUUUCAUGAUUAUAAGAUGGUUGAUAAUCGCUCUAUUGUAGAGCAAGCUCAUGAAAUACAGUGUAUAGCCAAGGAGCUCGACCACCUUAAGAUAGUCCUUCCUGACCGAUUUGUGGCUGGGUGCAUUAUUGCAAAGUUGCCUUCUACAUGGAGGAACUUCGCCACAACUCUGAAACAUAAGAGACAGGAGAUAUCAGUUGAAAAUCUGAUAGCGUCUCUGGAUGUUGAGGAGAAAGCUCGGGCUAAGGACACGGGAUCUAAAGGCGGCGAGGGCAACUCCAGCGCCAACAUGGUUCAAAGGAACCACAACAAGGGGAAAGGAAAGCCAAAAUCUAACAAGCCCAACAAAACUACCAACUUCAAGAAGAAGAAGAACAAGGCUGAAUUGACAUGUUUCGCAUGUGGCGAGGCGGGUCAUUUUGCCAAGGAUUGUCCCGAUCGAGCGGAUCGCCGUGGCAAAAAGGGCAAUGUCAACACAGUGGUCGCUAGCAAUGAGGAAGACAAAGGGUAUGAUAAUUUACCUUUCAUCUUCUCAGUAUUUCAAUCACCUAGCUGGUGGCUUGAUACUGGUGCUAAUGUUCAUGUGUGUUCUGACAUCAACUUGUUCUCUUCUUAUCAGGGCGCCCGGGAUUCUUCCGUGCUAAUGGGGAAUGGGUCACAUGCUUCUGUUCAUGGCACUGGCACGGUGGAUCUGAAGUUUACUUCGGGAAAGAUCGUGCAGCUGAAGAACGUGCAUCAUGUCCCUUCUAUACACAAGAAUCUCGUUAGCGGAACCCUUCUAUGUAGAGAUGGGUUCAAGGUAGUUUUGGAGUCCAAUAAAUUAGUUGUGUCCAAGUCUGGACAAUUUAUUGGUAAAGACUAUGAUUGCGGAGGCUUGUUCCACUUUUCUUUGUUAGAUUUCAAUAAUAAGUCUGUGAACCAUAUUUGUGCUAAUGUUGAUGAUCUUGCGAGUAUUUGGCAUUCUCGUUUGCGUCAUAUUAAUUUUGGCUCUAUGUCUCGGCUUGCAACCAUGAGUUUAAUUCCGAAUAUCACCAUAGUCAAAGGUUCUAAGUGCCAUAGUUGUGUGCAGUCGAAGCAACCUCGAAAGCCUCAUAAGGCUGCUGAGGAGAGACACCUGGCACCACUAGAACUCAUACAUUCUGAUCUUUGUGAGAUGAAUGGUGUGUUGACAAAAGGUGGUAAGAGAUACUUCAUGACAUUGAUUGAUGAUGCGUCUAGAUUUUGCUAUGUAUACUUGCUAAAAACUAAAGAUGAGGCUUUAGACUACUUUAAAAUCUAUAAGGCUGAGGUUGAAAACCAACUAGAGAGAAAGAUCAAACGUCUUAGAUCAGAUCGUGGUGGCGAGUUCUUUCCCAAAGUCUUUGAUGAUUUCUGUUCAGAACAUGGCAUUAUUCAUGAGAGGACUCCUCCCUAUUCACCCGAGUCAAACGGGAUUGCUGAAAGGAAAAACCGUACGUUGACUAACCUGGUGAAUGCCAUGUUAGACACUUGUGGUUUAUCUAAGGCAUGGUGGGGGGAGGCAGUCCUGACUUCAUGUCAUGUUCUGAAUAGAAUUCCUAUGGGCAAAGAAGAGAAAACCCCUUAUGAGAAGUGGGUUGGGAGAAAACCAUCACUUUCAUACUUGCGCACUUGGGGGUGCAUGGCGAAAGUCAAUGUACCAAUUAAUAAAAAGCGCAAGCUUGGUCCAAGGACAGUGGAUUGUGUCUUUCUUGGAUAUGCUUCGUGUAGCAUAGCUUAUAGAUUUUUAGUAGUUAAAUCUGAAGUUCCUGAUGUGUAUGUUGAUACUAUUAUGGAAUCUCGUGAUGCUACUUUCUUUGAGCAUAUAUUUCCAAUGAAAGACAUUCAUAGCAAUUCUAGAUACUCUUCUGAGAUAAUUCCUGAACAUAAUACACCUAUUGAGAGUUUUGAACAACCACAUGAAAUUGUCCUAGAGGAGGAUGACAAUGAUGCUCCUAAAAGGAGCAAGAGACAAAGGGUUGAAAAAUCCUUUGGUGAUGAUUUCAUUGUGUACCUUGUGGACGAUACUCCUACUACCAUUGCAGAAGCAUUUGCAUCUCCAGAUGCAGAUGAUUGGAAAGAAGCAGUUCAUAAUGACAUGGACUCUAUUCUUUCAAAUGGUACAUGGGAAGUCACUGAUCGACCCUAUGGAUGCAAACCUGUGGGUUGUAAGUGGGUGUUUAAAAAGAAGCUCAAGCCUGAUGGUACAAUUGAAAAGUACAAGGCUAGGCUUGUGGCUAAAGGCUAUACUCAGAAAGAAGGAGAAGACUUUUUUGAUACUUACUCACCUGUUGCUAGAAUGACCACUAUUCGAGUACUACUUUCUUUGGCUGCCUCGUAUGGUCUCCUUAUUCAUCAUAUGGAUGUAAAGACAACUUUUCUUAAUGGAGAGCUGGACGAGGAAAUCUAUAUGGAACAGCCUGAUGGAUUUGUAGUAAAGGGUCAAGAAAGCAAGGUGUGCAAGUUAUUGAAAUCUCUGUAUGGUCUGAAGCAAGCACCAAAGCAGUGGCAUGAGAAGUUUGACACGACUCUAACGUCUGCAGGCUUUGCCAUUAAUGAGGCAGACAGGUGUGUAUAUUAUCGCUGUGGUGGGGGCGAAGGAGUUAUAUUGUGCUUAUAUGUUGAUGAUAUAUUGAUAUUUGGCACAAACAUUGAUGUGAUCAAUGAAGUCAAGUCUUUUCUAUCAAAGAGUUUUGAUAUGAAAGAUCUGGGAGAAGCUGAUGUGAUUCUAAACAUCAAGCUGAUUAAGGCAGAUGGUGGGAUUACUCUCUCGCAAUCUCACUAUGUUGAAAAGGUUUUGAAGCGAUUUGGCUUCUCUGAGUGCAAACCUUCUCCAACACCUUAUGAUCCCAGUGUGACACUGCGAAAGAACAAGAGAAUUGGUUUAGACCAAUUGAGAUACUCUCAGAUUGUCGGUUCACUCAUGUAUCUUGCUGGUGCAACAAGGCCCGAUAUCUCGUUUGCUGUGAGCAAAUUGAGCAGGUUCAUGUCAAACCCCGGGACUGAUCAUUGGCAUGCACUUGAGCGGGUUAUGCGCUACCUGCAAGGUACAAUGAGUUAUGGAAUUCACUAUUCUGGUCAGCAUGCAGUACUUGAAGGAUAUAGUGAUUCGAACUGGAUAUCUGAUGCAGACGAGCUUUAUGCCACCAGUGGUUAUGUCUUUACUAUUGGUGGAGGUGCGGUAUCAUGGAGGUCAUGCAAGCAGACCAUUUUGACGAGGUCAACCAUGGAAGCCGAGCUAGCUGCACUUGACACAGCAACCGUUGAGGCAGAAUGGUUGCGUGAACUCUUGAUGGACUUGCCGGUGGUUGAGAAACCAAUACCAGCUAUCCUUAUGAACUGUGACAAUCAGACAGUGAUUGCUAAAGUGACGAGUUCUAAGGAUAAUGGAAAGUCAUCAAGACAUGUCAAAAGACGAUUGAAGUCUGUCAGAAAGUUGAGAAACUCCGGAGUUAUAAGUGUGACUUAUAUUUCAACAGAUAAAAAUCUAGCAGAUCCUUUUACCAAGGGACUACCACGUAAUGUGAUAGAAAUCGCAUCGAGAGAGAUGGGUAUGAGACCUGAAUAAAGUUGCCAUGGUGGAAACCCGGUCUAUGUGAUCGGAGAUCCCGUGAAUUAGGUCCUGGGAAGAACAAGCCAUUGGUGAACUGAGGAGAGUAACCUUUGACCCUCUCUAAGUAAAGAUGCAAUACUCUCAAAUGCUGUAAGGCAGGUUGGCUUUGUGCCUUAAUGUGUUCUGUUGGCUUGUAUUAGCGAAGAUGUUGUCCUGCAGAACAUUCUUUGAAAGAACACACCUAUAUGAGUUAGACUGUCUAACGUCGCAGUCUAUGAGAUUUGGGUGAUCUCUAGUAAACUCAUGAAGAGACCUUGGAGUACGACGUAUAUGCUCCACCCGAGAAGGGGACUACUGGUAGCCAAGUACUGGUCAUGACUUCAAGUGAAACCUAUUCACGCAAAACUUGCAAUUCAAGGCAUAGUCCAUUGUCCAAGUUGUGGGUUGGUGUAGCUUGGAGUUCUAGGCGGAAGUUCAACUUAACAGUCUCUGCUGAAAAACUAGUAUAUUAAACAGUAGUGAACAGUGGCGAAAACUGCAGAUGGGCAUUUGAGAUCUGGUGGGGGAUUGUUAGGAUUUAUGGGCUUGGCCCAAUUAAGAAAUUCAAAUAAAUCCCAGAAAAUCUCAAAAGCCCAUGCAAGAGGAUGGCUAGAGGAUAGGUGGAACCAUUAGCACCAUAUUGCUAGCUCUAGUGGAGUAGAGCUAGCUUAAAUAUGGAAGCCACACUCACUCACCAAGUCAUGGAUGAGAGGAGAGAGUGUGGAGAGCCACACGCGCGCGCGCGCUCGCUCGCCUCGCCGGGGCGGGGCGGGGCGGGGCGAAGGGCGCGGGCGCACGACAUGCGCGUGAAUGGUCCGCCGAAAUCCGGCCCCUCGCCUUGCGGGGGCGCGACUACCUUUUGCCGUUUGAUUUUUUGGUUUCUUGGCUGUUACGCUUAUCCUAACCGAUCGCUAUAAAAUCUCAACUGAUUGCGAGAUUUUCGUGGGCGGAUAAGCACGGGGGUCGCGGACUCGGCCCUAUAAAAGGAGCCCGGCAGCCAGCCUCCAAAUCAUCCCAGAUCCCAGUUCGCUUUCGCCUCUCUUCAUAGCUGAGCCGCUUUUUAGUUCCCUUCGUCCCGACCGCAGAGGUGCAUCUGCGAUCAGGAGAGCAGGUCUACGGAACCCUUCGUCUUCUAGAUCCUGCACCGGGAGAGGGCGAAUAAGGUUUUUGGGAAGCGUCUUCACGCGACUGCUCGUGAUCUUCUGACCUCGUCGACCCUGUUGAUUCGCUACUUCGACAUCGUCGACCCUGCUGAUUCCGGCGCGCGCCAACAAUCAGUAAGUCUAAUCAGUACGCAUCAUCUGAUUUGGCUUUUAUUUCAGUUCUUCUGAUUUGGUCAUGAUUUAUAUUCGGAAUUUAAUUUGGAAUUUGUCUAAUUAUUCAACAAUCCAAAAACCUUAUAGACAAUUUCCUAGUUUUUCUAUGGCUGCUUUUGCCGACGCGCUGAAGCCAGAAAAGUUUAAUGGUAUGCACUUUAAGAGAUGGCAAGUCAAGGCCACACUCUGGCUUACUGCUAUGAAUGUCUUCCAUGUUAGUAAAGGCAGACCUGAGGGUCCACUGACUCCUGAACAGGAGAAAGAGUACGACCAUGCCAAUACUAUGUUCACGGGAGCCGUUCUUAGCGCCCUUGUUGACCGUCUGGUUGAUGCGAAUAUGCAGUACACAGACGGGAAAGAGUUGUGGGAUGCACUUACUACUAAGUAUGGUGCAUCAGAUGCUGGCAGUGACCUGUAUAUCAUGGAGAGCUUUCAUGAUUAUAAGAUGGUUGAUAGUCGCUCUAUUGUAGAGCAAGCUCAUGAAAUACAGUGUAUAGCCAAGGAGCUCGACCACCUUAAGGUAGUCCUUCCUGACCGAUUUGUGGCUGGGUGCAUUAUUGCAAAGUUGCCUUCUACAUGGAGGAACUUCGCCACAGCUCUGAAACAUAAGAGACAGGAGAUAUCAGUUGAAAAUCUGAUAGCGUCUCUGGAUGUUGAGGAGAAAGCUCGGGCUAAGGACACGGGAUCUAAAGGCGGCGAGGGCAACUCCAGCGCCAACAUGGUUCAAAGGAACCACAACAAGGGGAAAGGAAAGCCAAAAUCUAACAAGCCCAACAAAACUACCAACUUCAAGAAGAAGAAGAACAAGGCUGAAUUGACAUGUUUCGCAUGUGGCGAGGCGGGUCAUUUUGCCAAGGAUUGUCCCGAUCGAGCGGAUCGCCGUGGCAAAAAGGGCAAUGUCAACACAGUGGUCGCUAGCAAUGAGGAAGACAAAGGGUAUGAUAAUUUACCUUUCAUCUUCUCAGUAUUUCAAUCACCUAGCUGGUGGCUUGAUACUGGUGCUAAUGUUCAUGUGUGUUCUGACAUCAACUUGUUCUCUUCUUAUCAGGGCGCCCGGGAUUCUUCCGUGCUAAUGGGGAAUGGGUCACAUGCUUCUGUUCAUGGCACUGGCACGGUGGAUCUGAAGUUUACUUCGGGAAAGAUCGUGCAGCUGAAGAACGUGCAUCAUGUCCCUUCUAUACACAAGAAUCUCGUUAGCGGAACCCUUCUAUGUAGAGAUGGGUUCAAGGUAGUUUUGGAGUCCAAUAAAUUAGUUGUGUCCAAGUCUGGACAAUUUAUUGGUAAAGACUAUGAUUGCGGAGGCUUGUUCCACUUUUCUUUGUUAGAUUUCAAUAAUAAGUCUGUGAACCAUAUUUGUGCUAAUGUUGAUGAUCUUGCGAGUAUUUGGCAUUCUCGUUUGCGUCAUAUUAAUUUUGGCUCUAUGUCUCGGCUUGCAACCAUGAGUUUAAUUCCGAAUAUCACCAUAGUCAAAGGUUCUAAGUGCCAUAGUUGUGUGCAGUCGAAGCAACCUCGAAAGCCUCAUAAGGCUGCUGAGGAGAGACACCUGGCACCACUAGAACUCAUACAUUCUGAUCUUUGUGAGAUGAAUGGUGUGUUGACAAAAGGUGGUAAGAGAUACUUCAUGACAUUGAUUGAUGAUGCGUCUAGAUUUUGCUAUGUAUACUUGCUAAAAACUAAAGAUGAGGCUUUAGACUACUUUAAAAUCUAUAAGGCUGAGGUUGAAAACCAACUAGAGAGAAAGAUCAAACGUCUUAGAUCAGAUCGUGGUGGCGAGUUCUUUCCCAAAGUCUUUGAUGAUUUCUGUUCAGAACAUGGCAUUAUUCAUGAGAGGACUCCUCCCUAUUCACCCGAGUCAAACGGGAUUGCUGAAAGGAAAAACCGUACGUUGACUGACCUGGUGAAUGCCAUGUUAGACACUUGUGGUUUAUCUAAGGCAUGGUGGGGGGAGGCAGUCCUGACUUCAUGUCAUGUUCUGAAUAGAAUUCCUAUGGGCAAAGAAGAGAAAACCCCUUAUGAGAAGUGGGUUGGGAGAAAACCAUCACUUUCAUACUUGCGCACUUGGGGGUGCAUGGCAAAAGUCAAUGUACCAAUUAAUAAAAAGCGCAAGCUUGGUCCAAGGACAGUGGAUUGUGUCUUUCUUGGAUAUGCUUCGUGUAGCAUAGCUUAUAGAUUUUUAGUAGUUAAAUCUGAAGUUCCUGAUGUGUAUGUUGAUACUAUUAUGGAAUCUCGUGAUGCUACUUUCUUUGAGCAUAUAUUUCCAAUGAAAGACAUUCAUAGCAAUUCUAGAUACUCUUCUGAGAUAAUUCCUGAACAUAAUACACCUAUUGAGAGUUUUGAACAACCACAUGAAACUGUUCUAGAGGAGGAUGACAAUGAUGCUCCUAAAAGGAGCAAGAGACAAAGGGUUGAAAAAUCCUUUGGUGAUGAUUUCAUUGUGUACCUUGUGGACGAUACUCCUACUACCAUUGCAGAAGCAUUUGCAUCUCCAGAUGCAGAUGAUUGGAAAGAAGCAGUUCAUAAUGAGAUGGACUCUAUUCUUUCAAAUGGUACGUGGGAAGUCACUGAUCGACCCUAUGGAUGCAAACCUGUGGGUUGUAAGUGGGUGUUUAAAAAGAAGCUCAAGCCUGAUGGUACAAUUGAAAAGUACAAGGCUAGGCUUGUGGCUAAAGGCUAUACUCAGAAAGGAGAAGACUUUUUUGAUACUUACUCACCUGUUGAUAGAAUGACCACUAUUCGAGUACUACUUUCUUUGGCUGCCUCGUAUGGUCUCCUUGUUCAUCAUAUGGAUGUAAAGACAACUUUUCUUAAUGGAGAGCUGGACGAGAAAAUCUAUAUGGAACAGCCUGAUGGAUUUGUAGUAAAGGGUCAAGAAAGCAAGGUGUGCAAGUUAUUGAAAUCUCUGUAUGGUCUGAAGCAAGCACCAAAGCAGUGGCAUGAGAAGUUUGACACGACUCUAACGUCUGCAGGCUUUGCCAUUAAUGAGGCAGACAGGUGUGUAUAUUAUCGCUGUGGUGGGGGAGAAGGAGUUAUAUUGUGCUUAUAUGUUGAUGAUAUAUUGAUAUUUGGCACAAACAUUGAUGUGAUCAAUGAAGUCAAGUCUUUUCUAUCAAAGAGUUUUGAUAUGAAAGAUCUGGGAGAAGCUGAUGUGAUUCUAAACAUCAAGCUGAUUAAGGCAGAUGGUGGGAUUACUCUCUCGCAAUCUCACUAUGUUGAAAAGGUUUUGAAGCGAUUUGGCUUCUCUGAGUGCAAACCUUCUCCAACACCUUAUGAUCCCAGUGUGACACUGCGAAAGAACAAGAGAAUUGGUUUAGACCAAUUGAGAUACUCUCAGAUUGUCGGUUCACUCAUGUAUCUUGCUGGUGCAACAAGGCCCGAUAUCUCGUUUGCUGUGAGCAAAUUGAGCAGGUUCAUGUCAAACCCCGGGACUGAUCAUUGGCAUGCACUUGAGCGGGUUAUGCGCUACCUGCAAGGUACAAUGAGUUAUGGAAUUCACUAUUCUGGUCAGCAUGCAGUACUUGAAGGAUAUAGUGAUUCGAACUGGAUAUCUGAUGCAGACGAGCUUUAUGCCACCAGUGGUUAUGUCUUUACUAUUGGUGGAGGUGCGGUAUCAUGGAGGUCAUGCAAGCAGACCAUUUUGACGAGGUCAACCAUGGAAGCCGAGCUAGCUGCACUUGACACAGCAACCGUUGAGGCAGAAUGGUUGCGUGAACUCUUGAUGGACUUGCCGGUGGUUGAGAAACCAAUACCAGCUAUCCUUAUGAACUGUGACAAUCAGACAGUGAUUGCUAAAGUGACGAGUUCUAAGGAUAAUGGAAAGUCAUCAAGACAUGUCAAAAGACGAUUGAAGUCUGUCAGAAAGUUGAGAAACUCCGGAGUUAUAAGUGUGACUUAUAUUUCAACAGAUAAAAAUCUAGCAGAUCCUUUUACCAAGGGACUACCACGUAAUGUGAUAGAAAUCGCAUCGAGAGAGAUGGGUAUGAGACCUGAAUAAAGUUGCCAUGGUGGAAACCCGGUCUAUGUGAUCGGAGAUCCCGUGAAUUAGGUCCUGGGAAGAACAAGCCAUUGGUGAACUGAGGAGAGUAACCUUUGACCCUCUCUAAGUAAAGAUGCAAUACUCUCAAAUGCUGUAAGGCAGGUUGGCUUUGUGCCUUAAUGUGUUCUGUUGGCUUGUAUUAGCGAAGAUGUUGUCCUGCAGAACAUUCUUUGAAAGAACACACCUAUAUGAGUUAGACUGUCUAACGUCGCAGUCUAUGAGAUUUGGGUGAUCUCUAGUAAACUCAUGAAGAGACCUUGGAGUACGACGUAUAUGCUCCACCCGAGAAGGGGACUACUGGUAGCCAAGUACUGGUCAUGACUUCAAGUGAAACCCAUUCACGCAAAACUUGCAAUUCAAGGCAUAGUCCAUUGUCCAAGUUGUGGGUUGGUGUAGCUUGGAGUUCUAGGCGGAAGUUCAACUUAACAGUCUCUGCUGAAAAACUAGUAUAUUAAACAGUAGUGAACAGUGGCGAAAACUGUAGAUGGGCAUUUGAGAUCUGGUGGGGGAUUGUUAGGAUUUAUGGGCUUGGCCCAAUUAAGAAAUUCAAAUAAAUCCCAGAAAAUCUCAAAAGCCCAUACAAGAGGAUGGCUAGAGGAUAGGUGGAACCAUUAGCACCAUAUUGCUAGCUCUAGUGGAGUAGAGCUAGCUUAAAUAUGGAAGCCACACUCACUCACCAAGUCAUGGAUGAGAGGAGAGAGUGUGGAGAGCCACACGCGCGCGCGCUCGCUCGCCUCGCCGGGGCGGGGCGGGGCGGGGCGGGGCGAAGGGCGCGGGCGCACGACAUGCGCGUGAAUGGUCCGCCGAAAUCCGGCCCCUCGCCUUGCGGGGGCGCGGCUACCUUUUGCCGUUUGAUUUUUUGGUUUCUUGGCUGUUACGCUUAUCCUAACCGAUCGCUAUAAAAUCUCAACUGAUUGCGAGAUUUUCGUGGGCGGAUAAGCACGGGGGUCGCGGACUCGGCCCUAUAAAAGGAGCCCGGCAGCCAGCCUCCAAAUCAUCCCAGAUCCCAGUUCGCUUUCGCCUCUCUUCAUAGCUGAGCCGCUUUUUAGUUCCCUUCGUCCCGACCGCAGAGGUGCAUCUGCGAUCAGGAGAGCAGGUCUCCGGAACCCUUCGUCUUCUAGAUCCUGCACCGGGAGAGGGCGAAUAAGGUUUUUGGGAAGCGUCUUCACGCGACUGCUCGUGAUCUUCUGACCUCGUCGACCCUGUUGAUUCGCUACUUCGACAUCGUCGACCCUGCUGAUUCCGGCGCGCGCCAACAAUCAGUAAGUCUAAUCAGUACGCAUCAUCUGAUUUGGCUUUUAUUUCAGUUCUUCUGAUUUGGUCAUGAUUUAUAUUCGGAAUUUAAUUUGGAAUUUGUCUAAUUAUUCAACAAUCCAAAAACCUUAUUGUAGACAAUUUCCUAGUUUUUCUAUGGCUGCUUUUGCCGACGCGCUGAAGCCAGAAAAGUUUAAUGGUAUGCACUUUAAGAGAUGGCAAGUCAAGGCCACACUCUGGCUUACUGCUAUGAAUGUCUUCCAUGUUAGUAAAGGCAGACCUGAGGGUCCACUGACUCCUGAACAGGAGAAAGAGUACGACCAUGCCAAUACUAUGUUCACGGGAGCCGUUCUUAGCGCCCUUGUUGACCGUCUGGUUGAUGCGAAUAUGCAGUACACAGACGAGAAAGAGUUGUGGGAUGCACUUACUACUAAGUAUGGUGCAUCAGAUGCUGGCAGUGACCUGUAUAUCAUGGAGAGCUUUCAUGAUUAUAAGAUGGUUGAUAAUCGCUCUAUUGUAGAGCAAGCUCAUGAAAUACAGUGUAUAGCCAAGGAGCUCGACCACCUUAAGAUAGUCCUUCCUGACCGAUUUGUGGCUGGGUGCAUUAUUGCAAAGUUGCCUUCUACAUGGAGGAACUUCGCCACAGCUCUGAAACAUAAGAGACAGGAGAUAUCAGUUGAAAAUCUGAUAGCGUCUCUGGAUGUUGAUGAGAAAGCUCGGGCUAAGGACACGGGAUCUAAAGGCGGCGAGGGCAACUCCAGCGCCAAUAUGGUUCAAAGGAACCACAACAAGGGGAAAGGAAAGCCAAAAUCUAACAAGCCCAACAAAACUACCAACUUCAAGAAGAAGAAGAACAAGGCUGAAUUGACAUGUUUCGCAUGUGGCGAGGCGGGUCAUUUUGCCAAGGAUUGUCCCGAUCGAGCGGAUCGCCGUGGCAAAAAGGGCAAUGUCAACACAGUGGUCGCUAGCAAUGAGGAAGACAAAGGGUAUGAUAAUUUACCUUUCAUCUUCUCAGUAUUUCAAUCACCUAGCUGGUGGCUUGAUACUGGUGCUAAUGUUCAUGUGUGUUCUGACAUCAACUUGUUCUCUUCUUAUCAGGGCGCCCGGGAUUCUUCCGUGCUAAUGGGGAAUGGGUCACAUGCUUCUGUUCAUGGCACUGGCACGGUGGAUCUGAAGUUUACUUCGGGAAAGAUCGUGCAGCUGAAGAACGUGCAUCAUGUCCCUUCUAUACACAAGAAUCUCGUUAGCGGAACCCUUCUAUGUAGAGAUGGGUUCAAGGUAGUUUUGGAGUCCAAUAAAUUAGUUGUGUCCAAGUCUGUACAAUUUAUUGGUAAAGACUAUGAUUGCGGAGGCUUGUUCCACUUUUCUUUGUUAGAUUUCAAUAAUAAGUCUGUGAACCAUAUUUGUACGAAUGUUGAUGAUCUUGCGAGUAUUUGGCAUUCUCGUUUGCGUCAUAUUAAUUUUGGCUCUAUGUCUCGGCUUGCAACCAUGAGUUUAAUUCCGAAUAUCACCAUAGUCAAAGGUUCUAAGUGCCAUAGUUGUGUGCAGUCGAAGCAACCUCGAAAGCCUCAUAAGGCUGCUGAGGAGAGACACCUGGCACCACUAGAACUCAUACAUUCUGAUCUUUGUGAGAUGAAUGGUGUGUUGACAAAAGGUGGUAAGAGAUACUUCAUGACAUUGAUUGAUGAUGCGUCUAGAUUUUGCUAUGUAUACUUGCUAAAAACUAAAGAUGAGGCUUUAGACUACUUUAAAAUCUAUAAGGCUGAGGUUGAAAACCAACUAGAGAGAAAGAUCAAACGUCUUAGAUCAGAUCGUGGUGGCGAGUUCUUUCCCAAAGUCUUUGAUGAUUUCUGUUCAGAACAUGGCAUUAUUCAUGAGAGGACUCCUCCCUAUUCACCCGAGUCAAACGGGAUUGCUGAAAGGAAAAACCGUACGUUGACUGACCUGGUGAAUGCCAUGUUAGACACUUGUGGUUUAUCUAAGGCAUGGUGGGGGGAGGCAGUCCUGACUUCAUGUCAUGUUCUGAAUAGAAUUCCUAUGGGCAAAGAAGAGAAAACCCCUUAUGAGAAGUGGGUUGGGAGAAAACCAUCACUUUCAUACUUGCGCACUUGGGGGUGCAUGGCAAAAGUCAAUGUACCAAUUAAUAAAAAGCGCAAGCUUGGUCCAAGGACAGUGGAUUGUGUCUUUCUUGGAUAUGCUUCGUGUAGCAUAGCUUAUAGAUUUUUAGUAGUUAAAUCUGAAGUUCCUGAUGUGUAUGUUGAUACUAUUAUGGAAUCUCGUGAUGCUACUUUCUUUGAGCAUAUAUUUCCAAUGAAAGACAUUCAUAGCAAUUCUAGAUACUCUUCUGAGAUAAUUCCUGAACAUAAUACACCUAUUGAGAGUUUUGAACAACCACAUGAAAUUGUCCUAGAGGAGGAUGACAAUGAUGCUCCUAAAAGGAGCAAGAGACAAAGGGUUGAAAAAUCCUUUGGUGAUGAUUUCAUUGUGUACCUUGUGGACGAUACUCCUACUACCAUUGCAGAAGCAUUUGCAUCUCCAGAUGCAGAUGAUUGGAAAGAAGCAGUUCAUAAUGAGAUGGACUCUAUUCUUUCAAAUGGUACGUGGGAAGUCACUGAUCGACCCUAUGGAUGCAAACCUGUGGGUUGUAAGUGGGUGUUUAAAAAGAAGCUCAAGCCUGAUGGUACAAUUGAAAAGUACAAGGCUAGGCUUGUGGCUAAAGGCUAUACUCAGAAAGAAGGAGAAGACUUUUUUGAUACUUACUCACCUGUUGAUAGAAUGACCACUAUUCGAGUACUACUUUCUUUGGCUGCCUCGUAUGGUCUCCUUGUUCAUCAGAUGGAUGUAAAGACAACUUUUCUUAAUGGAGAGCUGGACGAGGAAAUCUAUAUGGAACAGCCUGAUGGAUUUGUAGUAAAGGGUCAAGAAAGCAAGGUGUGCAAGUUAUUGAAAUCUCUGUAUGGUCUGAAGCAAGCACCAAAGCAGUGGCAUGAGAAGUUUGACACGACUCUAACGUCUGCAGGCUUUGCCAUUAAUGAGGCAGACAGGUGUGUAUAUUAUCGCUGUGGUGGGGGCGAAGGAGUUAUAUUGUGCUUAUAUGUUGAUGAUAUAUUGAUAUUUGGCACAAACAUUGAUGUGAUCAAUGAAGUCAAGUCUUUUCUAUCAAAGAGUUUUGAUAUGAAAGAUCUAGGAGAAGCUGAUGUGAUUCUAAACAUCAAGCUGAUUAAGGCAGAUGGUGGGAUUACUCUCUCGCAAUCUCACUAUGUUGAAAAGGUUUUGAAGCGAUUUGGCUUCUCUGAGUGCAAACCUUCUCCAACACCUUAUGAUCCCAGUGUGACACUGCGAAAGAACAAGAGAAUUGGUUUAGACCAAUUGAGAUACUCUCAGAUUGUCGGUUCACUCAUGUAUCUUGCUGGUGCAACAAGGCCCGAUAUCUCGUUUGCUGUGAGCAAAUUGAGCAGGUUCAUGUCAAACCCCGGGACUGAUCAUUGGCAUGCACUUGAGCGGGUUAUGCGCUACCUGCAAGGUACAAUGAGUUAUGGAAUUCAUUAUUCUGGUCAGCAUGCAGUACUUGAAGGAUAUAGUGAUUCGAACUGGAUAUCUGAUGCAGACGAGCUUUAUGCCACCAGUGGUUAUGUCUUUACUAUUGGUGGAGGUGCGGUAUCAUGGAGGUCAUGCAAGCAGACCAUUUUGACGAGGUCAACCAUGGAAGCCGAGCUAGCUGCACUUGACACAGCAACCGUUGAGGCAGAAUGGUUGCGUGAACUCUUGAUGGACUUGCCGGUGGUUGAGAAACCAAUACCAGCUAUCCUUAUGAACUGUGACAAUCAGACAGUGAUUGCUAAAGUGACGAGUUCUAAGGAUAAUGGAAAGUCAUCAAGACAUGUCAAAAGACGAUUGAAGUCUGUCAGAAAGUUGAGAAACUCCGGAGUUAUAAGUGUGACUUAUAUUUCAACAGAUAAAAAUCUGGCAGAUCCUUUUACCAAGGGACUACCACGUAAUGUGAUAGAAAUCGCAUCGAGAGAGAUGGGUAUGAGACCCGAAUAAAGUUGCCAUGGUGGAAACCCAGUCUAUGUGAUCGGAGAUCCCGUGAAUUAGGUCCUGGGAAGAACAAGCCAUUGGUGAACUGAGGAGAGUAACCUUUGACCCUCUCUAAGUAAAGAUGCAAUACUCUCAAAUGCUGUAAGGCAGGUUGGCUUUGUGCCUUAAUGUGUUCUGUUGGCUUGUAUUAGCGAAGAUGUUGUCCUGCAGAACAUUCUUUGAAAGAACACACCUAUAUGAGUUAGACUGUCUAACGUCGCAGUCUAUGAGAUUUGGGUGAUCUCUAGUAAACUCAUGAAGAGACCUUGGAGUACGACGUAUAUGCUCCACCCGAGAAGGGGACUACUGGUAGCCAAGUACUGGUCAUGACUUCAAGUGAAACCCAUUCACGCAAAACUUGCAAUUCAAGGCAUAGUCCAUUGUCCAAGUUGUGGGUUGGUGUAGCUUGGAGUUCUAGGCGGAAGUUCAACUUAACAGUCUCUGCUGAAAAACUAGUAUAUUAAACAGUAGUGAACAGUGGCGAAAACUGCAGAUGGGCAUUUGAGAUCUGGUGGGGGAUUGUUAGGAUUUAUGGGCUUGGCCCAAUUAAGAAAUUCAAAUAAAUCCCAGAAAAUCUCAAAAGCCCAUACAAGAGGAUGGCUAGAGGAUAGGUGGAACCAUUAGCACCAUAUUGCUAGCUCUAGUGGAGUAGAGCUAGCUUAAAUAUGGAAGCCACACUCACUCACCAAGUCAUGGAUGAGAGGAGAGAGUGUGGAGAGCCACACGCGCGCGCGCGCUCGCUCGCCUCGCCGGGCCGGGGCGGGGCGGGGCGGGCGGGGCGGGGCGAAGGGCGCGGGCGCACGACAUGCGCGUGAAUGGUCCGCCGAAAUCCGGCCCCUCGCCUUGCGGGGGCGCGGCUACCUUUUGCCGUUUGAUUUUUUGGUUUCUUGGCUGUUACGCUUAUCCUAACCGAUCGCUAUAAAAUUUCAACUGAUUGCGAGAUUUUCGUGGGCGGAUAAGCACGGGGGUCGCGGACUCGGCCCUAUAAAAGGAGCCCGGCAGCCAGCCUCCAAAUCAUCCCAGAUCCCAGUUCGCUUUCGCCUCUCUUCAUAGCUGAGCCGCUUUUUAGUUCCCUUCGUCCCGACCGCAGAGGUGCAUCUGCGAUCAGGAGAGCAGGUCUCCGGAACCCUUCGUCUUCUAGAUCCUGCACCGGGAGAGGGCGAAUAAGGUUUUUGGGAAGCGUCUUCACGCGACUGCUCGUGAUCUUCUGACCUCGUCGACCCUGUUGAUUCGCUACUUCGACAUCGUCAACCCUGCUGAUUCCGGCGCGCGCCAACAAUCAGUAAGUCUAAUCAGUACGCAUCAUCUGAUUUGGCUUUUAUUUCAGUUCUUCUGAUUUGGUCAUGAUUUAUAUUCGGAAUUUAAUUUGGAAUUUGUCUAAUUAUUCAACAGUACUCACAGCAUUCACUGCAAGGAUAGGACGACAGGAUCAGAAUACAUCAUAUGGAGGGCUGAUACAUAUGUAGACUUGCCAGAUCUUUCUGCACAUCUUACUACGUUUUAUGCAUGGUAACAGCUAGUUUCAAAGAAGAACACCAGCAAAGUAUCAUGCUAUAUUUUGCUCUUUUAUUAGUUUAUAGUCAUUUUUGUAUGCAUAUUUGAUUUUUGUACCAUAUUUUCCUUUUUACUGUGUAGUGGUAACCAUCAACAGAAACUGAUGGUUGAGCUACGACUUAUGUAAGAAGUAAGAUGUUUUGUGUAACCCUUUAUGUUUAGUAAUUUCAUCUCAACAGCCUCCUGCCAUAUAUACUUCACAUCAGUUUUAGUUUCCUGAAACAAUAACUUAUAACAAGCUAGUUGACAUUUUCAUGGAGGCAAA